GGAAAAUGCCUUAUUAAAAUAUCGAGAAACAGGAGAUGUAAUUCUUUCUACCACUCGCUGCGAAAUAAUUCGCAUACUAAUGAAUAAUUUGAAUGCGUGUGGUAAAACAAGUGUGUCAGAAAUUUCACUUGUUGCAGAAGAAGCCCUUAUAAGAAUACCAGCUCUGCGUACAAAAUCAGCACCAUCUAGUAAAGUUUUAGCCAGCGAAAUGAACAAGAGACUUAAAAACAUGAAAUAUUAUGGUAGAAAAAGGAUGAAGAAGAACUUAAAACUGAAAGAAAAAGAAAGAACUUAUGAAGAAAUGAAAGAAGAAAUGAAAAUUGAAAUGCCAAAACAAAAUCCCCCAAUUUAUUUAAUGAAAAAAACAUUUACAAUCAUGUCGAGUAAAAAGGCGAGAAUAAGCUAAAAAGGCGGGAACAGCAGCUGAUCAUUUAAGGAACUACCCAGCUCUUAACAUCCCUGAUCUUCUGUGGCGAGAAUUCGAAGCAGAAAUUUCAAUAACUAAGGACCAAAUUAAAAACAAUUGGAUAUCUGCUCUUCACUCCUUUUCAACAUUUUUUUGUCCUGACCUCCAAAACAUGGAGAAUUUGUCCUUAGACCAAAUGACAGUAAUAAUUUUGGAGAAAGUUCCGCAAUAUUUUAAAGCUGCAACAUCAAUUGCUCAAAUAAAACCGAAAGCCGAUGAAGCUCCGAGAUGAAUAGGAGUAGGUGCCAAUGAUAAGAUAAAUUUAAUGUUUUCAUUAUUCGUUGAUUCUAAAGCCUUAUUUUGCGGAACAGCUGUAGAUUCAUUGCUUCAAAUGUUUGCGCUGUAUUGGAUUUUCAACAUUGACUAUCCAAGUGACUCAAAAAUUUCUUAUAAUUUCAUCGCGGCUGUAUUAUUUAGAGAAAAAGUUUCUCAGUACUAUUCAAAGUACAAAAGUGUAGUAAAAAUUUUAGAGCAACUUCAACUAUUUUAAAAAAUAUUUUAUAUAUUUUAUAUC
Long non-coding RNA from Leptopilina boulardi, 980 nucleotides. RefSeq lists it as uncharacterized. The record is from RefSeq and is a predicted model, not a curated record. Lineage: Eukaryota; Metazoa; Arthropoda; Insecta; Hymenoptera; Figitidae. The transcript has 4 exons.